RNAcentral lists this ribosomal RNA (1346 nucleotides) under uncultured bacterium. RNAcentral describes it as "bacterial SSU rRNA". It matches the Rfam family "Bacterial small subunit ribosomal RNA", at positions 28 to 1381 of the family's 1533-position model. The record is from RNAcentral.
GACGAACGCUGGCGGCGUGCUUAACACAUGCAAGUCGAACGGAAAGGCCCUGCUUUUGUGGGGUGCUCGAGUGGCGAACGGGUGAGUAACACGUGAGUAACCUGCCCUUGACUUUGGGAUAACCUCAGGAAACUGGGGCUAAUACCGGAUAGGAGCUCCUGCUGCAUGGUGGGGGUUGGAAAGUUUCGGCGGUUGGGGAUGGACUCGCGGCUUAUCAGCUUGUUGGUGGGGUAGUGGCUUACCAAGGCUUUGACGGGUAGCCGGCCUGAGAGGGUGACCGGCCACAUUGGGACUGAGAUACGGCCCAGACUCCUACGGGAGGCAGCAGUGGGGAAUAUUGCACAAUGGGCGGAAGCCUGAUGCAGCAACGCCGCGUGCGGGAUGACGGCCUUCGGGUUGUAAACCGCUUUCGCCUGUGACGAAGCGUGAGUGACGGUAAUGGGUAAAGAAGCACCGGCUAACUACGUGCCAGCAGCCGCGGUGAUACGUAGGGUGCGAGCGUUGUCCGGAUUUAUUGGGCGUAAAGGGCUCGUAGGUGGUUGAUCGCGUCGGAAGUGUAAUCUUGGGGCUUAACCCUGAGCGUGCUUUCGAUACGGGUUGACUUGAGGAAGGUAGGGGAGAAUGGAAUUCCUGGUGGAGCGGUGGAAUGCGCAGAUAUCAGGAGGAACACCAGUGGCGAAGGCGGUUCUCUGGGCCUUUCCUGACGCUGAGGAGCGAAAGCGUGGGGAGCGAACAGGCUUAGAUACCCUGGUAGUCCACGCUGUAAACGGUGGGUACUAGGUGUGGGGUCCAUUCCACGGGUUCCGUGCCGUAGCUAACGCUUUAAGUACCCCGCCUGGGGAGUACGGCCGCAAGGCUAAAACUCAAAGGAAUUGACGGGGCCCCGCACAAGCGGCGGAGCAUGCGGAUUAAUUCGAUGCAACGCGUAGAACCUUACCUGGGUUUGACAUGGAUCGGGAGCGCUCAGAGAUGGGUGUGCCUCUUUUGGGGUCGGUUCACAGGUGGUGCAUGGCUGUCGUCAGCUCGUGUCGUGAGAUGUUGGGUUAAGUCCCGCAACGAGCGCAACCCUUGUUCACUGUUGCCAGCACGUUAUGGUGGGGACUCAGUGGAGACCGCCGGGGUCAACUCGGAGGAAGGUGGGGAUGACGUCAAGUCAUCAUGCCCCUUAUGUCCAGGGCUUCACGCAUGCUACAAUGGCUGGUACAGAGAGUGGCGAGCCUGUGAGGGUGAGCGAAUCUCGGAAAGCCGGUCUCAGUUCGGAUUGGGGUCUGCAACUCGACCUCAUGAAGUCGGAGUCGCUAGUAAUCGCAGAUCAGCAACGCUGCGGUGAAUACGUUCCCGGGGCU